This is a long non-coding RNA of Centruroides sculpturatus (bark scorpion), 530 nucleotides long. RefSeq lists it as uncharacterized. The transcript has 3 exons. NCBI's taxonomy places the organism in Eukaryota, Metazoa, Arthropoda, Arachnida, Scorpiones, Buthidae. The record is from RefSeq and is a predicted model, not a curated record.
CUAAACAAUCGCCGGAACCUAUGGAUGAAAGUCAUUCAAACUUUUUUCUCCAGCUUAAUUUAUAAAAAUAAAAAUUAAAAUAUCACAAGAUUAAUUAUUUAAUUUCAAAUCUUUUCCAGUGGAGAAUUUCAUCUAGGAUAUAGAAAAUCAAAUCUUCAGGGAUUAUCGUGGUACGAAUUGGUUCACUGUGAUCAUUUGAGAGAAGCCCAAUCGAAGCAUCGACUAAUUACGCAAUCCGAACAAGAGAGAUCUUGUAUUCUUCUAAUAAGAUUGGAAUCUCAAAGUAGAAAGUGGAUUUGGGUUCACGUAGUUUUGCAAGUGAAAGACAGUUCCGAUAGUUCGCAACAACCCGUUAUUGUUUGCACUAAUCAAGUACUCAGUGAAAGAGAAGCGGCUGUGAUGAGGGCCAACAGUUGGCUCUAUCAAUUUUAUUCUCUUCAUUCCAAAAUGCACUAUAGUUUGGCGUACGAAGCCCACGCUACCAGAUUGCCUAGUUAUUAUUCUACGAUGAUGCCUUAUCCUCAUCCGAC